AUGUAGCUUAGUGGUGGAGUACUUGCCCAGCAUGCAUGAGGCCUUGGGUUCAAUCCCCAGCAU
RNAcentral lists this transfer RNA (63 nucleotides) under Ictidomys tridecemlineatus (thirteen-lined ground squirrel). Its description in RNAcentral is "Spermophilus tridecemlineatus (thirteen-lined ground squirrel) tRNA". It matches the Rfam family "tRNA", at positions 5 to 66 of the family's 71-position model. From Rfam's summary of the family: Transfer RNA (tRNA) molecules are approximately 80 nucleotides in length. Their secondary structure includes four short double-helical elements and three loops (D, anti-codon, and T loops). The record is from Rfam by way of RNAcentral. Lineage: Eukaryota; Metazoa; Chordata; Mammalia; Rodentia; Sciuridae.